RNAcentral lists this ribosomal RNA (1722 nucleotides) under Caenorhabditis guadeloupensis. Its description in RNAcentral is "SSU rRNA". It matches the Rfam family "Eukaryotic small subunit ribosomal RNA". Lineage: Eukaryota; Metazoa; Nematoda; Chromadorea; Rhabditida; Rhabditidae. The record is from RNAcentral.
UCGGCGCGAUAUGCUUCCUUAAAAGAUUAAGCCAUGCAUGCUAUGAUUCAUCAAUGAAAUUGCGUACGGCUCAUUAGAGCAGAUAUCAUCUUAUUCGGAAUUCAUCCUAUAUGGAUAACUGCGGAAAUACUGGAGCUAAUACAUGCGUUUAAGCCCCGACGCAAGGAGGGGUGCAAUUAUUAGAACAGACCAAACGUUUUCGGACGUAGUUUGUUGACUCUGAAUAAAGCAGUUUACUGUCGGUUUCGACCGACUCUAUCCGAAAAGAGUGUCUGCCCUUUCAACUAGAUGGUAGUUUAUUGGACUACCAUGGUUGUUACGGGUAACGGAGAAUAAGGGUUCGACUCCGGAGAGGGAGCCUUAGAAACGGCUACCACGUCCAAGGAAGGCAGCAGGCGCGAAACUUAUCCACUGUUGAGUAUGAGAUAGUGACUAAAAAUAUAAAGACUCAUCCUUUUGGAUGAGUUAUUUCAAUGAGUUGAAUACAAAUGAUUCUUCGAGUAACAAGGAGAGGGCAAGUCUGGUGCCAGCAGCCGCGGUAAUUCCAGCUCUCCUAGUGUAUCUCGUUAUUGCUGCGGUUAAAAAGCUCGUAGUUGGAUCUAGGUUACGUACUGCAGUUCUCAAUUUGAGUCAACUGUGGUCGUGACUUCUUCUCGCUGGUUUGCGGUUGGGUUCGCCCUUCAGCUGCCAGCAGGUUUACCUUGAACAAAUCAGAGUGCUCAAUACAGGCGCUUGCUUGAAUAGCUCAUCAUGGAAUAAUGAAACAGGACUUCGGUUCUUUUUGUUGGUUCUAGAACUGAUUUAAUGGUUAAGAGGGACAAACCGGGGGCAUUCGUAUCAUUACGCGAGAGGUGAAAUUCGUGGACCGUAGUGAGACGCCCAACAGCGAAAGCAUUUGCCAAGAAUGUCUUCAUUAAUCAAGAACGAAAGUCAGAGGUUCGAAGGCGAUUAGAUACCGCCCUAGUUCUGACCGUAAACGAUGCCAUCUCGCGAUUCGGAGGGCUUGUACCCUGCCGAGGAGCUAUCCGGAAACGAAAGUCUUUCGGUUCCGGGGGUAGUAUGGUUGCAAAGCUGAAACUUAAAGAAAUUGACGGAAGGGCACCACAAGGCGUGGAGCUUGCGGCUUAAUUUGACUCAACACGGGAAAACUCACCCGGUCCGGACACCAUUAGGACUGACAGAUUGAUAGCUCUUUCUCGAUUUGGUGGUUGGUGGUGCAUGGCCGUUCUUAGUUGGUGGAGUGAUUUGUCUGGUUUAUUCCGAUAACGAGCGAGACUCUAGCCUGCUAACUAGUGUGCGAAUCUUCGGGUUCGUAGUACUUCUUAGAGGGAUAAGUGGUGUUUAGCCACACGAGAUUGAGCGAUAACAGGUCUGUGAUGCCCUUAGAUGUCCGGGGCUGCACGCGUGCUACACUGGUGGACUCAGCGGGUUUUUCCUAUGCCGAAAGGUAUCGGUAAACCGUUGAAACUCUUCCAUGUCCGGGAUAGGGUAUUGUAAUUAUUGCCCUUCAACGAGGAAUGCCUAGUAAGUGUGAGUCAUCAGCUCACGUUGAUUACGUCCCUGCCCUUUGUACACACCGCCCGUCGCUAUCCGGGACUGAACUGAUUCGAGAAGAGUGGGGAUCGUCGCUUUGAGGUUUCACGACUUCUUUGUGAUGAAAACCAUUUUUAUCGCAUUGGUUUGAACCGGGUAAAAGUCGUAACAAGGUAGCUGUAGGUGAAC